Molecule: ribosomal RNA, 451 nt
Filed under: uncultured bacterium
Lineage: Bacteria
Description: partial 16S ribosomal RNA
Rfam family: Bacterial small subunit ribosomal RNA
Source: RNAcentral
GAUGAACGCUGGCGGCGUGCCUAAUACAUGCAAGUCGAACGAGAUCUUCGGAUCUAGUGGCGAACGGGUGAGUAACGCGUUGGUACCUACCCUGAAGUGGGGAAUAACUGGCCGAAAGGUCGGCUAAUACCGCAUAAUACCGCAAGGUUAAAGUCGUAAGACGCUUCGGGAGGGGCCUGCGUCCCAUUAGCUAGUUGGUGAGGUAACUGCUCACCAAGGCGACGAUGGGUAGCUGGAUCGAGAGGUUGACCAGCCACACUGGGACCGAGAUACGGCCCAGACUCCUACGGGAGGCAGCAGUAAGGAAUCUUCCACAAUGGGCGAAAGCCUGAUGAAGCAACGCCGCGUGCAGGAUGACGGUCUUCGGAUUGUAAACUGCUUUUAUAUGGGAAGAUUAUGACGGUACCAUAUGAAUAAGCACCGGCUAACUACGUGCCAGCCGCCGCGGUAA